CAGAUAUUUUCCUAGUUUUCAUACCCACAAGACAUGCUUCAUUCUGGGACAGGUGAAAGUGUUGUAAAGACUGAUGCCGGGGUAUCGGCUGGAACACCACUCAGAAGUAGGAGCCUGGUGAGUGGAGGAGACUGAAGAUGGAGAGAGAGCCUGGACCUCAACAUGAGCAUCUGGAGCCAUUUGGCAGCAUUAGGCUGUGACCGCUUAGAGAACCGAAAGGUGCAGAGCUUUAAAGGAUUAUGGAGUCUGAAGACCAAAUGGGAUGAUGGAGAACAGCUAUUCAGUGGUACAAAUGUAAAUGCUCCCAGGCCCGGGCAGAAAAGAGAAAACAUUUCCAUGGAAGAGGAAACAGGAAAUUCCAACAGAUCAGCAACAGUUGGAGUGCUAACCUGUCACUGGAAUGGGAAAAAAAAUGCUGUCGUUGACACAUCUUUUCCUUGUUUUUGACACAAAUUAGAAACACCACCUGGAACACAGCUGUGACUUGAUAAACAAGUGAAACAUUCUUUGGUGUGGUGAGGGGAAAACAAAUUUCUCAAAGGACACGCACCAUGGUGUAUGAGAGGACACUGGAGCCCAGCCAGCAUCUGACAUGCUGAAUUCAAAGUGCAGAAGACAGAGAUGAAGAAAAGAAGGAAGUGGAGGCAAUGAGGAAAGGAGGGAAGAAGGAAGGAAGGAAAUCAUGCUUGAAAGAAGUUGUGGAACAUGUCAAGUUUUUUUCCGGAUGUGGCGGAGAUUAUGCAGCUACAAUGAAGCCAGAUUAAGAUUUCAGGAAAAUGGACAGAUCUCUACAAUGUUCUCCAAAGAGAUUGUUUUGCUUGCCAAUAAAAAGAGACACCUGGGAGCACCAUACUCUCUCCUGUUCCUCUGGGUAUCAUAUUUCCUUAUGACACCUGAAACUCUGAUGCCUUCUGGGUCCAUGAAAGCAGUGAGAUGAGCACAGGAAACCACGCUGAGGAUGGUUGAGCAAAAAGGUGACAUUGAGCCACUGGAUUAACCUGCCCAGAAACAGGAUAUCUUCAGAUUUCUUGUUAAGUAAGAAAAUGUAAUUUUGUUGAUUCUAAGUUACACUUUCUUUUGUUAGUUCAACAUCUCUGAAAUCAGAACAUAUUUUGCCAUGGUAAUAUCUUACCAUCACUGUAAUAUGUAAUAUCCUUACAUAGGUGUCAUUGCCUAUGCAUGUGUCAACUUGAUUGCUAUUCUCUGUGAUAUGACUGACAACUGCAGCCCUUUGACAGUUCAGUCGACAAACCAUUGAAGAUUAUUAGGGUAAGAAAUACUGCUUUCUGUCUGAAAACUUUCCAAUGACAUCUUCUGAAAAGACAAAGAAAGUAUCAGCAUCAAAAUUUGCGUAAUAGGCCGGGCGCGGUGGCUCACGCCUGUAAUCCCAGCACUUUGGGAGGCCGAGGCGGGCGGAUCACGAGGUCAGGAGAUCGAGACCAU
RNAcentral lists this long non-coding RNA (1443 nucleotides) under Homo sapiens (human). RNAcentral's name for it is "HSALNT0064546". Lineage: Eukaryota; Metazoa; Chordata; Mammalia; Primates; Hominidae. The record is from RNAcentral.